UUUUGGCAUUUUUGGGGAUUUAUUGGGAUUUUUUUAUUUUUUUGGGAUUUCUUGGGACUUCUGGGGAUUUUUCAGUUAAUUUUGGGAUUUAUUUGGAAUUUACUCAGACUUUCGUGGAUUUCUUUGAAUUUUUGGGAUUUUUGGGGGGAUUUCUUGGGACUUUUUAGUAUUUCUUGGGAUUUUUCGGUAAUUUUGGGAUUCUUGGGAAUCUCUUCCCGGAUUUUUUGGGGAUUUUUUCUCCCAGCCCGGCACCGAGAGGGUUACGGGAGGCGGGAGCGCCGCGAUCCCGGGAAAAGGAAAAUCCUUUUCCUCUUUUCCAUCCUCCAGCCCGAGUUUUUCCAUCACCGGGAAAAACCGGGAAGAGGAUGCGGGAACCGGGAAGCGCAUCCCUGUAUCCCGUCUUUUUUCCAGAUUUUUUUUGGCUUUUUUUCCCGUUUUUUUUUAGUUUUUUUUCCCGGUUUUGGGGGUUUUUUUAACGUUUUUUUCCCCCGUUUUUUCCCUGUUUUUCCCCUGUUUUUGCCCAUUUUUUCCCGUUUUUUUUUGGGAUUUUCCCCAUUUUUUUUCCCCGUUUUUUGGGGGAUUUUCCCCGGGUUUUUUCCCGGUUUUGGGGGAUUUUUUCCCGGUUUUUUUCCCGGUUUUUAUGGAUCCCGGCGGGAACGAAGCAUCUCGGGAAGGAGGAGCAGGGGAGGCAUCGCGACAUCUCUGGAGCAGAGCUGGGAAAGCUGGGAAGGAAAACGCCUGGAAAAGGAGCCGCGGAAAAUCCGGGAAAAAUCCCCCAAAAAUCCGGGAAUUAUCCAGGAAAAAAAUCCGGGAAUCGGCCGGGAAGGUGCCGGGAAGGAGCCGAGAGUAACCGGGAAGGAAUUUUGGGAAUCGGCCGGGGAAAAACCGGGAAAGGAUUUCGGGAAUCGGCCGGUAAAGAACCGGGAUUCGGCCGGGAAGGAGACGGGAAUAACCGGGAAGAAAAUCCGGGAAUCGGCCGGGAUUGGACCGGGAAUUCACCGGGAAGGAAUUCCGGGAAUCUGCCGGGAAGGAACCGGGAUUCGGCCGGGAAGAAAAUCCGGGAAUCUGCCGGGAAGGAAUAUCGGGAAUCAACCGGGAUUCGGUUGA
This 1107-nucleotide long non-coding RNA is filed under the name Taeniopygia guttata (zebra finch). RNAcentral describes it as "lncRNA (ENSTGUG00000024653.1)". Lineage: Eukaryota; Metazoa; Chordata; Aves; Passeriformes; Estrildidae. The record is from RNAcentral.